This 263-nucleotide long non-coding RNA is filed under the name Rattus norvegicus (Norway rat). Its description in RNAcentral is "long non-coding RNA NONRATT008069". The record is from RNAcentral. Lineage: Eukaryota; Metazoa; Chordata; Mammalia; Rodentia; Muridae.
AAUCCCAGGAUGAGGCCAGCAGGGAGGGCGGAGAUGUGGCCCCGAAGACAGAAGCUGCUGCACUGUGACCCUUUCCCCUUCCUGGAAGGGCUUCUCUAAUGUCCACGUUUAGAAUUUUUUACACGUUUGCAACUUUUUUACCAUUACAAAUACUUUGUUUUUUAACGUUGGAUACUCUGUUUUUUAACGUUGGAUAUUUAAGACUGUAAAUAUGUUUCUCUUACAUAUUGUGCAUAUUGUAUAAUAAAUGAAAAUUGACUCCU